CAUCUUGCUAUUUUCGCUCGAGGAUGGGACUGCGGCCGAUCAGGCUGUUGGUGGGGUAAAGGCCCACCAAACCAGUAACCGGUACGGGCUUUGAGAGAAGGAGCCCGGAGAUGGACACUGAGACAAGGGUCCAGGUCCUACGGGGCGCAGCAGGCGCGAAACCUUCGCAAUGCGCGCAAGCGCGACGAGGUUAUUCUGAGUGAUUUCCGCUGAGGAAAUCUUUUCCUAGAUCUAAAAAGUCUGGGGAAUAAGGGGAGGGCAAGUCUGGUGUCAGCCGCCGCGGUAAUACCAGCUCCUCGAGUGGUCAGGGCGUUUAUUGGGCCUAAAGCAUCCGUAGCCUGCUCAGUAGGUCUCCUGUUAAAUCCAACGGCUCAACCGUUGGUCUGCAGGAGAUACCGCUGGGCUAGGAGGCGGGAGAGGCGGACGGUACUCCGAGGGUAGGGGUAAAAUCCUUUGAUCCCCGGAAGACCACCAG
This 475-nucleotide ribosomal RNA is filed under the name uncultured archaeon. RNAcentral describes it as "bacterial SSU rRNA". It matches the Rfam family "Archaeal small subunit ribosomal RNA", at positions 187 to 663 of the family's 1478-position model. The record is from RNAcentral.